Molecule: ribosomal RNA, 750 nt
Filed under: Myroides odoratimimus
Lineage: Bacteria; Pseudomonadati; Bacteroidota; Flavobacteriia; Flavobacteriales; Flavobacteriaceae
Description: bacterial SSU rRNA
Rfam family: Bacterial small subunit ribosomal RNA
Source: RNAcentral
CUACCUUAUACAGGGGAAUAGCCCGAAGAAAUUCGGAUUAAUGCUCCAUGGUUUAUCGAUAUGGCAUCGUAUUGAUAAUAAAGAUUUAUCGGUAUAAGAUGGGCAUGCGUAUCAUUAGCUAGUUGGUGUGGUAACGGCAUACCAAGGCAACGAUGAUUAGGGGUCCUGAGAGGGAGAUCCCCCACACUGGUACUGAGACACGGACCAGACUCCUACGGGAGGCAGCAGUGAGGAAUAUUGGUCAAUGGAGGCAACUCUGAACCAGCCAUGCCGCGUGCAGGAUGACGGUCCUAUGGAUUGUAAACUGCUUUUGUACAGGAAGAAACCUCCCUACGAGUAGGGACUUGACGGUACUGUAAGAAUAAGGAUCGGCUAACUCCGUGCCAGCAGCCGCGGUAAUACGGAGGAUCCGAGCGUUAUCCGGAAUUAUUGGGUUUAAAGGGUUCGUAGGCGGCUUUGUAAGUCAGUGGUGAAAUUUCCUAGCUUAACUAGGACACUGCCAUUGAUACUGCAGAGCUUGAAUAAUAUGGAAGUAACUAGAAUAUGUAGUGUAGCGGUGAAAUGCUUAGAUAUUACAUGGAAUACCAAUUGCGAAGGCAGGUUACUACGUAUUUAUUGACGCUGAUGAACGAAAGCGUGGGGAGCGAACAGGAUUAGAUACCCUGGUAGUCCACGCCGUAAACGAUGGAUACUAGCUGUUCGGUUUUCGGACUGAGUGGCUAAGCGAAAGUGAUAAGUAUCCCACCUGGG